AACGAACGCUGGCGGCAGGCUUAACACAUGCAAGUCGAGCGAGACCUUCGGGUCUAGCGGCGGACGGGUGAGUAACGCGUGGGAACGUGCCCUUCUCUACGGAAUAGCCCCGGGAAACUGAGAGUAAUACCGUAUACGCCCUUUGGGGGAAAGAUUUAUCGGAGAAGGAUCGGCCCGCGUUGGAUUAGGUAGUUGGUGGGGUAAUGGCCCACCAAGCCGACGAUCCAUAGCUGGUAUGAGAGGAUGAUCAGCCACACUGGGACUGAGACACGGCCCAGACUCCUACGGGAGGCAGCAGUGGGGAAUCUUAGACAAUGGGGGCAAACCUGAUCGAGCCAUGCCGCGUGAGUGAUGAAGGCCUUAGGGUUGUAAAGCUCUUUCAGCUGGGAAGAUAAUGACGGUACCAGCAGAAGAAGCCCCGGCUAACUCCGUG
RNAcentral lists this ribosomal RNA (433 nucleotides) under uncultured bacterium. Its description in RNAcentral is "partial 16S ribosomal RNA". It matches the Rfam family "Bacterial small subunit ribosomal RNA", at positions 29 to 507 of the family's 1533-position model. The record is from RNAcentral.